This is a transfer RNA of Ovis aries (sheep), 72 nucleotides long. It matches the Rfam family "tRNA". Rfam says of the family: Transfer RNA (tRNA) molecules are approximately 80 nucleotides in length. The record is from Rfam. NCBI's taxonomy places the organism in Eukaryota, Metazoa, Chordata, Mammalia, Artiodactyla, Bovidae.
UCCCUGGGAGCUUAGGUGGUAAAGAAUCUGCCUGCAAUGCAGGAGACCCAGGUUCAAUCCCUGGUUGAGGAA